GACGAAGGUGGCGAGCGUUGUUCGGAAUCACUGGGCAUAAAGCGCGCGUAGGCGGCUAUGUAAGUCAGGUGUGAAAGCCCUCGGCUCAACCGAGGAACUGCGCCUGAUACUGCAUGGCUUGAGGUCCGGAGGGGAGAGUGGAAUUCCCGGUGGAGCGGUGAAAUGCGUAGAGAUCGGGAAGAACGCCGGCGGCGAAAGCGACUCUCUGGUCGGAAUCUGACGCUGAGGCGCGAAAGCUAGGGGAGCAAACGGG
This 253-nucleotide ribosomal RNA is filed under the name uncultured bacterium. RNAcentral's name for it is "partial 16S ribosomal RNA". It matches the Rfam family "Bacterial small subunit ribosomal RNA", at positions 524 to 776 of the family's 1533-position model. The record is from RNAcentral.